This is a long non-coding RNA of Canis lupus familiaris (dog), 1525 nucleotides long. RefSeq lists it as uncharacterized. The record is from RefSeq and is a predicted model, not a curated record. The transcript has 4 exons. Lineage: Eukaryota; Metazoa; Chordata; Mammalia; Carnivora; Canidae.
UUCUGAACUGUGUUGUCAGAGCCAGGCUGUGAUGGCUGAGCCAGAAGAGGUCUGGGGCAGAGCUGAAAUCAGAGUCCUGAGGCAUCAUCACAGUGCUGACUCUCGAAGCCAGUAGAGUGAGGCUGGAGGUGGUAGGGAAGGCACCAGCUCUAGAACUUCUAUGGAGGAGCUAAGGGUGACACUUUGAUUGGAAGAAGGGGCUAGCAGACUGUUUUAAUGAUGAAACUGCACAGAAAGAAUUUUUUAAAAAAUUAGAUUGUUCAUCAGGAUGGCUUGUUGGGGUUGGUGGAGAUUAUGAGGUGGACAAGCAACUCCCCUGUACUAGUUGUUGAGACUUGUCUUUCAAGACAAGGCUCUGCUCUGUCGAACAGGGGCUAACCCCUGAAAAUGACAUCUCCCAGGCUUUCUCAUCCUCCAGCUUCUGAAUGAAUGAGAGGCACUGGCAGGAGACUGGAAGCCAAGAGAAUCUGGAAGGCCAAGAGCUUCUCCCUGGUUGCCGUUCUGAGCAACACCUCAAGAAGACUGUGUACCUCUUCUGUGACCCCAGCCUCCAACGGCAGCUCCUGCCUUGUUCCAACUCCCAUAAGGUGGUCCUGCCCCUGUGAGAGGGAUUGUGAAGACCACCAUGAAUUGUGGCCCCUACCUUCAAAAGGCCUCUGUUCCAGCUGCAGAGAUGAGGCGGACUCUAGUGAAACAUCUUAAAAUCCACAUGGACAGACUCUGUCCUCGGUCAGGAGAACCUGGGGAGCACAGGUGGAGAAACAACAUGAAACCCAGAAAGGGUCUGCUUUUGGAGGAACAUAACUUCCAAGAUGCAAUCUAUAGUAAGUAUAUUUGUGUAAGACCUGCAAGAAUGUGGAGGAAGUUUCUACCACUGAGCAGUUGGAGGCAAAGGUGGUGGAGAGAAGGUGAAUGAGUGAGGACAGUCUAAGGAUCACAGCCGAAUACCUGCCUAAAAGGGGAUAAUUAAAGACAAAGUUCUCUGGGAGUAGUACCAUAAUGUAAUGUUGUAGAGUUCCCCCAAAAUAUUUGUCCAUCUAGAACUUCAGAAUGUGACCUUAUUUGGAAAUAGGGUCUUUGCAGAUGUAACUGGUUAAGAUGAGGUCCUACCAGAUUGGGGCGGGCCCUAAAUCCAACAGCUGGUGAUUUUAUAAGAAAAAAACAGAGAGAUACACCUGGGGGAGAAGGCCAUGUGAUGACAGAGUGCGAGACAGAAGCAGUGAAGCUGAGGAAUGCCAAGGGUCUGCCAGCAGCCAUCAGAAACCAGGAGCAAGCAAUGAAGGGUUCUACCCAGAGACUCAGAGGGAGCCUGGCCCUGCUGACACCUCCAUCUCAGAUUUCUAGCCUUCAGAACUGAGAGAGAAAUGCAUUUCUGCUGUAUCAAGCCACCCAGUUUGUGGUGCUUUGUUAUGGCAGUCCUCACAAACAGGAAAGCAAACUAGGUAAGAAAUGUGCAGAAUAGGAAAAUGCUAUUUAAAUACAAGAGAGUGAUUUUUUUUCCUGUUGUUAUUCUUCUUUCAACACC